Molecule: ribosomal RNA, 252 nt
Filed under: uncultured bacterium
Lineage: Bacteria
Description: partial 16S ribosomal RNA
Rfam family: Bacterial small subunit ribosomal RNA
Source: RNAcentral
AACGUAGGAGGCAAGCGUUAUCCGGAUUUACUGGGCGUAAAGCGCGUGCAGGUGGUUUGGUAAGUCGUGCGUGAAAGCUCCUCGCUCAACGAGGAGAGGCCGUGCGAGACUGCGAGACUAGAGUCAGAUAGAGGCAAGUGGAAUUCCGGGUGUAGUGGUGAAAUGCGUAGAGAUCCGGAGGAACACCGAUGGCGAAGGCAAUCCCCUGGGCCGCACUGACGCUCAUGCACGAAAGCGUGGGGAGCAAACAGG